GGAUUUGGCUCAGUGGUAGAGUACUUGCCUAGCAUGUGUGAGGCACUGGGUUCACUCCCAGCACCA
RNAcentral lists this transfer RNA (66 nucleotides) under Marmota monax (woodchuck). RNAcentral's name for it is "tRNA.Ala". Lineage: Eukaryota; Metazoa; Chordata; Mammalia; Rodentia; Sciuridae. The record is from RNAcentral.